RNAcentral lists this long non-coding RNA (236 nucleotides) under Vigna radiata. RNAcentral describes it as "long non-coding RNA (VRAD_LNC001333)". Lineage: Eukaryota; Viridiplantae; Streptophyta; Magnoliopsida; Fabales; Fabaceae. The record is from RNAcentral.
GGCACGAACCAUGGCCCAGGACGUCGCACACCGUUACUCAUCACCGGCGAGCAACAACGACCACAGUGUCAAGACCCUCUUCUGCCCCUCAUUGCGCGAGAGAGGGAGAUCGUUCUCUCCUUCGUGGACCGCCUCCUGGCCGAGCUCAACCACCGCACCCGUCGGCCUCCAAGCUUGGUCCGCUGCGUCACCGGCGACCGUUGCUGUCUGAGGCGUUCAGCCCUUCUCCGAUCUCC